Myodes glareolus (Bank vole) is the source of this 497-nucleotide long non-coding RNA. RefSeq lists it as uncharacterized. The record is from RefSeq and is a predicted model, not a curated record. Lineage: Eukaryota; Metazoa; Chordata; Mammalia; Rodentia; Cricetidae.
GAGCAGCAAGCCAGGGCCUAGCCAUGAAUUCAAUUCGGGUGUUUGGAGAUUAGUAGCAGGCUGGGAGUGGAAGUGUGGUGGCGGGGCUGAUCCUGGACUAAAUGACUGGGAGUGGGUGAAAGGACCCGUUGUCACUCAGACGUGCCAACCCUGGGACUUCAGUGAGCAGAGGGGGAUCCCAAGAGAAGCCCGCUCCUAGAUCCUGAGGCGUGCUGAGAGCUGAGGAUGACAUACUUGGAUCCUGAGAGGCAGGGCCGGAGCCAGGGAGAUACCUAGGCUCCCUGUGGAAACACAGCUAAGACCUAGGAAACAAAGCCUUUCGUAGGGAACAAGGGGCCUCUGGCACUGGAAACAAAGCCUGACACCACCAAAGACUGGGGAACAGCGCCAUCUCCUGGCUGCCUGCGGCUAUGACCCGCCUUCCCAGGCGGAACCGCGGGGUUUAAGAAGACCGUCCCUUGUGCCUGGCCUUUUAGCAACCUGGAAUAAAAAUUUUA